AUUGAACGCUGGCGGCAGGCCUAACACAUGCAAGUCGAACGGUAACAGGAAGAAGCUUGCUUCUUUGCUGACGAGUGGCGGACGGGUGAGUAAUGUCUGGGAAACUGCCUGAUGGAGGGGGAUAACUACUGCAAACGGUAGCUAAUACCGCAUAACGUCGCAAGACCAAAGAGGGGGACCUUCGGGCCUCUUGCCAUCGGAUGUGCCCAGAUGGGAUUAGCUAGUAGGUGGGGUAACGGCUCACCUAGGCGACGAUCCCUAGCUGGUCUGAGAGGAUGACCAGCCACACUGGAACUGAGACACGGUCCAGACUCCUACGGGAGGCAGCAGUGGGGAAUAUUGCACAAUGGGCGCAAGCCUGAUGCAGCCAUGCCGCGUGUAUGAAGAAGGCCUUCGGGUUGUAAAGUACUUUCAGCGGGGAGGAAGGGAGUAAAGUUAAUACCUUUACUCAUUGACGUUACCCGCAGAAGAAGCACCGGCUAACUCCGUG
RNAcentral lists this ribosomal RNA (490 nucleotides) under uncultured bacterium. Its description in RNAcentral is "partial 16S ribosomal RNA". It matches the Rfam family "Bacterial small subunit ribosomal RNA", at positions 30 to 507 of the family's 1533-position model. The record is from RNAcentral.